ACCUUCGUGGUGUAACGGUUAGCACACUCGGCGCGUAUUCGAGAGAUCCAGGUUCGAGUCCCGGCGAGGGCA
This 72-nucleotide transfer RNA is filed under the name Stegodyphus mimosarum. It matches the Rfam family "tRNA". Rfam says of the family: Transfer RNA (tRNA) molecules are approximately 80 nucleotides in length. Their secondary structure includes four short double-helical elements and three loops (D, anti-codon, and T loops). Further hydrogen bonds mediate the characteristic L-shaped molecular structure. tRNAs have two regions of fundamental functional importance: the anti-codon, which is responsible for specific mRNA codon recognition, and the 3' end, to which the tRNAs corresponding amino acid is attached (by aminoacyl-tRNA synthetases). tRNAs cope with the degeneracy of the genetic code in two manners: having more than one tRNA (with a specific anti-codon) for a particular amino acid; and 'wobble' base-pairing, i.e. permitting non-standard base-pairing at the 3rd anti-codon position. The record is from Rfam by way of RNAcentral. Lineage: Eukaryota; Metazoa; Arthropoda; Arachnida; Araneae; Eresidae.